GGAAUUUUGGACAAUGGGGGCAACCCUGAUCCAGCCAUCCCGCGUGUGCGAUGAAGGCCUUCGGGUUGUAAAGCACUUUUGGCAGGGAAGAAAAGGCGCCGGAUAAUACCUGGCGCUGCUGACGGUACCUGCAGAAUAAGCACCGGCUAACUACGUGCCAGCAGCCGCGGUAAUACGUAGGGUGCAAGCGUUAAUCGGAAUUACUGGGCGUAAAGCGUGCGCAGGCGGUUCGGAAAGAAAGAUGUGAAAUCCCAGGGCUUAACCUUGGAACUGCAUUUUUAACUGCCGGGCUAGAGUAUGUCAGAGGGGGGUAGAAUUCCACGUGUAGCAGUGAAAUGCGUAGAGAUGUGGAGGAAUACCGAUGGCGAAGGCAGCCCCCUGGGAUAAUACUGACGCUCAUGCACGAAAGCGUGGGGAGCAAACAG
RNAcentral lists this ribosomal RNA (425 nucleotides) under uncultured bacterium. Its description in RNAcentral is "bacterial SSU rRNA". It matches the Rfam family "Bacterial small subunit ribosomal RNA", at positions 358 to 775 of the family's 1533-position model. The record is from RNAcentral.